Long non-coding RNA from Scylla paramamosain (green mud crab), 211 nucleotides. RefSeq lists it as uncharacterized. The record is from RefSeq and is a predicted model, not a curated record. Lineage: Eukaryota; Metazoa; Arthropoda; Malacostraca; Decapoda; Portunidae. The transcript has 3 exons.
CCCCCUCACCUGGCGGUAAUCCAUUUGGCUUUCAACUGAGCACCUCAAUCAACCACACCAAGAUGAACCCGCACAACACAGCCUCUGCCAGUAUCCCCUUCUACACAAGAUAACAUCUGAGGUGCCGCCACGCUGGUGCUGGCUGCGGUGUGAAGGGCGUCCUGGCGGGGUAGCAGUGUGUGGAUGAAUGGUGAUGGAGGGCGCGGUGGUG